AGUCUCACUAUUUAGUUCUGGGGGUCCUGGAACUCAUUAUGUAAGCCAGGCAGACCUUGGAUUUAGUGACAGAUCAGCCUGUCUCUGCCCUGUGGUGCUGGGGUCAAAGAAUCCUGCCAAGUCCAGGUGUUCACCCGAAAUCUGCAUCCAGGACAACUCUACGAUGGCUACUCACAGGUGCUUGGGUCUAACCUCACAGAUGCUCCAACUGGGCCUGCACUUUCCUAGCCCCGGAUAUCCUCACAGAUCCUGGGCAGCAGUGAAAGAGCCAGCUCUCCCAGGACUUGGCCAGCCUCUCAAUUUUCUCAGGGUCCCCAUAGAUGACAUCAUCGCCCCUCCCUCCCGCCCCCAGUCAGCAGGAAGUAGUUUAAAGAACAAAACAACCUCACAGGUUUAAAGAACAUGCCCCCACCAUCACCCCUUCCUAGCUCCUCAUUUUUCAUUAAAUUUAGAAGGGAGGAAUGUUAGCUUAUAGGUGAUUUCCGCUAGGGUCUUCCCAGACCCCUGGCAAUGGCUUACGUCAUCAUCUGCCACCAUUUCCUGCCACCAGCAGGUGCAGGUGUCCUGGUGUAUAAAAGGCCUACUCUCUACUCCAUUUGGCUCUUUCUCCCUGUUCUGCUCUUCUCUGUCCCCCCUCUUUGCCCUCAUGGCAUUGCUCUCAUCUGUCUGCCUCUAACCCUUCUCUAGGUCCUCACUUCCCUCCCUCCCCCCAUAUAAACCUCCUUUGUACCAGAUGUGUUACAUGGUGUGACUUUUCAGGGGUAUGUCUUGCCAUGGUCCUGGUCAGGUAACAUCCCCCACCCCUCAAGGUAUUAUAUUUCAUAUCAAUCUGAAACAUAUCUCUGAAGGGAAUAAACAACAUUUUUAAAGGAUGAAAACUCAAA
Grammomys surdaster is the source of this 884-nucleotide long non-coding RNA. RefSeq lists it as uncharacterized. The transcript is spliced from 2 exons. Lineage: Eukaryota; Metazoa; Chordata; Mammalia; Rodentia; Muridae. The record is from RefSeq and is a predicted model, not a curated record.